This 503-nucleotide ribosomal RNA is filed under the name uncultured bacterium. Its description in RNAcentral is "bacterial SSU rRNA". It matches the Rfam family "Bacterial small subunit ribosomal RNA", at positions 29 to 510 of the family's 1533-position model. The record is from RNAcentral.
AACGAACGCUGGCGGCGUGGAUAAGACAUGCAAGUCGAACGGGUUUUCAUUUGUAGCAAUACAGGUGGGAAUCAGUGGCGCAAGGGUGCGUAACACGUGGGCAACCUGCCCUGGAGACUGGGAUAGCCCGCCGAAAGGCGGAUUAAUACCGGAUGCGGCUACCAAAGGACUCUUUGGGACGCUAAAGGUGGCGCAAGCUACCGCUCUUGGAUGGGCCCGCGGCCUAUCAGCUAGUUGGUGAGGUUACGGCUCACCAAGGCGAUGACGGGUAGCUGGUCUGAGAGGACGACCAGCCACACUGGAACUGAGACACGGUCCAGACACCUACGGGUGGCAGCAGUCGAGAAUUUUUCUCAAUGGGGAAACCCUGAAGGAGCGACGCCGCGUGGAGGAUGAAGGUCUUCGGAUUGUAAACUCCUGUCAUUGGUGAACAAGAUUCUGCCGUUAACUGCGGUGGAAUUUGAUAGUAGCCGAAGGAGGAAGGGACGGCUAACUCUGUGCCA